GGGAACAUAGCUCAAGAGGUAGAGCAAUUGCCUAAAUACACACUGUGCCCUGGGUUCAAUCCCCAGUAUCACCA
RNAcentral lists this transfer RNA (74 nucleotides) under Ictidomys tridecemlineatus (thirteen-lined ground squirrel). RNAcentral's name for it is "Spermophilus tridecemlineatus (thirteen-lined ground squirrel) tRNA". It matches the Rfam family "tRNA". From Rfam's summary of the family: Transfer RNA (tRNA) molecules are approximately 80 nucleotides in length. The record is from Rfam by way of RNAcentral. Lineage: Eukaryota; Metazoa; Chordata; Mammalia; Rodentia; Sciuridae.